Molecule: ribosomal RNA, 450 nt
Filed under: uncultured bacterium
Lineage: Bacteria
Description: bacterial SSU rRNA
Rfam family: Bacterial small subunit ribosomal RNA
Source: RNAcentral
GGGAGCGGCGGACGGCUGAGUAAUGCGUAGGUAUCUACCCCUAGGUGGAGAAUAGCUCCGAGAAAUCGGAGAUAAUACUCCAUAGUUCCCGCCUCUGGCGGGAUAAAGGUCGUAACUGAUCGCCAAGGGAGGAGCCUUCGUCCUAUCAGGUAGUUGGUAGGGUAACGGCCUACCAAGCCUAUGACGGGUAGCUGGUCUAAGAGGAUGACCAGCCAGAGGGGCACUGAGACACGGGCCCCACUCCUACGGGAGGCAGCAAUCAGGAAUAGUCGGCAAAGGACGAAAGUCUGACCGCGCGACGUCGCGUGUAGGAAGAAGCUCUUCGGAGUGUAAACUACUGUGAUAAGGGAUGAAGAUCCGCCUUUGGCGGGUUUGACAGUACCUUAUUAGAAAGGGGCCGCUAAUUGCGUGCCAGAAGCGUCGGUAAUACGUGAGCCCCAAACGUUAUCC